CUGCGAAUGGCUCAUUAUAUAAGUUAUCGUUUAUUUGAUAGCACCUUACUACUUGGACAACCGUGGUAAUUCUAGAGCUAAUACAUGCUAAAAACCCCGACUCCGGGAGGGGUGUAUUUAUUAGAUUAAAAGCCAAUGCCCCCCGGGCUCUCUGGUGAUUCAUGAUAACUCGUCGAAUCGCACGGCCUUGCGCCGGCGAUGGUUCAUUCAAAUUUCUUCCCUAUCAACUUUCGAUGUUUGGGUAGUGGCCAAACAUGGUUGCAACGGGUAACGGAGGGUUAGGGCUCGACCCCGGAGAAGGAGCCUGAGAAACGGCUACUACAUCCAAGGAAGGCAGCAGGCGCGCAAAUUACCCAAUCCCGACCCGGGGAGGUAGUGACAAUAAAUACUGAUACAGGGCCCUUUCGGGUCUUGUAAUUGGAAUGAGUACAAUUUAAAUCCCUUAACGAGGAACAAUUGGAGGGCAAGUCUGGUGCCAGCAGCCGCGGUAAUUCCAGCUCCAAUAGCGUAUAUUAAAGUUGUUGUGGUUAAAAAGCUCGUAGUUGAACCUUGGGCCUGGCGGGCUGGUCCGCCUCACCGCGUGCACUAGCCCCGCCGGGCCUUUCCCCCUGUGGAACCCCAUGCCCUUCGCUGGGCGUGGCGGGGAAGCAGGACGUUUACUUUGAAAAAAUUAGAGUGCUCCAGGCAGGCGUAUGCUCGAAUACAUUAGCAUGGAAUAAUGAAAUAGGACGCGCGGUUCUAUUUUGUUGGUUUCUGGGACCGCCGUAAUGAUUAAUAGGGACAGUCGGGGGCAUCAGUAUUCAAUUGUCAGAGGUGAAAUUCUUGGAUUUAUUGAAGACUAACAACUGCGAAAGCAUCUGCCAAGGAUGUUUUCAUUAAUCAGGAACGAAAGUUAGGGGAUCGAAGACGAUCAGAUACCGUCGUAGUCUUAACCAUAAACUAUGCCGACUAGGGAUCGGACGAUGUUAUUCAUUGACUCGUUCGGCACCUUACGAGAAAUCAAAGUGCG
Molecule: ribosomal RNA, 1009 nt
Filed under: Aschersonia oxystoma
Lineage: Eukaryota; Fungi; Ascomycota; Sordariomycetes; Hypocreales; Clavicipitaceae
Description: SSU rRNA
Rfam family: Eukaryotic small subunit ribosomal RNA
Source: RNAcentral